Long non-coding RNA from Phyllopteryx taeniolatus (common seadragon), 900 nucleotides. RefSeq lists it as uncharacterized. NCBI's taxonomy places the organism in Eukaryota, Metazoa, Chordata, Actinopteri, Syngnathiformes, Syngnathidae. The record is from RefSeq and is a predicted model, not a curated record. The transcript has 3 exons.
UAAGGAUGCAGUAAACAUGUUAAUCUCCAUCUGUGCAGGCGCAGUGAGAACUCGUAGAAGCGCUUCAGCUUGGCCACCAGGGGGCAGACUGCGUUCCAGGCCUUCUCCUGCAGAGCCAGGUCACCUGGGUUCUGAAUGGCCUACAGGUGGAUGUUUGGACUGAAGCUCGGCCAGAAUCCCGUGGGCCUCCUCCAGUACGGCGCUGACCUGGUUCCACACGGCUGUCUCGGCCUCGGUGGGCUGGGCGUCUGAGACGAGAUGAAGGAAAGGAGGACCGGGAGGAAGCGAACAUGUGAAGUAAAGAGUGGGAAGGGAGAAGUAAAAAAAACAAAACAAAAAAAAAACAAAACAAAAAAAGAUUUGUGUGAAUAGAAAAACAUGAAAGGGUGAUAUCCCCUAAAGAGCAAGAUAAAAGCCUUAUUUGUCAAGACUUUACAGCAUUCAUACAUACUGUAUAUCAAAACACACCUAAUUAGUAUUUUACCCUGACAAGUGCAUUAAAAAUCCAAUUAUCAUGCUCAGUCAUUCUAAUGUGAGAGGGAAUUAUUUCCUUUCUGCAACCAAUGCAGGAUGCAUUGAGAUGAAUGGAAACAAUUCACUAGUUAUUGUGUAAGUCCACUUUGAAUGCUUAAAACCGUACAAAUUACAUUUGUGGUACUAAAGCUGGCCUUUUUUCCGAAUGCUUUAUGAAUCAGAUGUGAAAUAGUUUCUUCUUGCACUUGUAUUUAAAAAAACAAAAAAAGUUAACCGUCAGAUCAUAUUUUUAUGGUAAUAAGAGAGAUAAGUGUAAUUUAAAUUUUCUUUAUAUUAUUAUUUAUUUGAUGUAUUGUUUUACUAUGUGAGUAUAUAUACAAUUUAUAUUGUAUAUUUAUGUAUUAUUUAUAUAUUUUUCAAUAUACA